ACAAACAUCUUGAGUGCUGCGCAGGUA
RNAcentral lists this non-coding RNA (27 nucleotides) under Mus musculus (house mouse). Lineage: Eukaryota; Metazoa; Chordata; Mammalia; Rodentia; Muridae. The record is from RNAcentral.